CCUACGGGUGGCAGCAGUCGAGAAUCAUUCACAAUGGGGGAAACCCUGAUGGUGCGACGCCGCGUGGGGGAAUGAAGGUCUUCGGAUUGUAAACCCCUGUCAUGUGGGAGCAAAUUAAAAAGAUAGUACCACAAGAGGAAGAGACGGCUAACUCUGUGCCAGCAGCCGCGGUAAUACAGAGGUCUCAAGCGUUGUUCGGAAUCACUGGGCGUAAAGCGUGCGUAGGCUGUUUCGUAAGUCGUGUGUGAAAGGCGCGGGCUCAACCCGCGGACGGCACAUGAUACUGCGAGACUAGAGUAAUGGAGGGGGAGCCGGAAUUCUCGGUGUAGCAGUGAAAUGCGUAGAUAUCGAGAGGAACACUCGUGGCGAAGGCGGGUUACUGGACAUUAACUGACGCUGAGGCACGAAGGCCAGGGGAGCGAAAGGGAUUAGAUACCCCAGUAGUC
Molecule: ribosomal RNA, 446 nt
Filed under: uncultured bacterium
Lineage: Bacteria
Description: partial 16S ribosomal RNA
Rfam family: Bacterial small subunit ribosomal RNA
Source: RNAcentral